AGAGUUUGAUCAUGGCUCAGAUUGAACGCUGGCGGAAUGCUUUACACAUGCAAGUCGGGCGGCAGCGCGGGGGCAACCCUGGCGGCGAGCGGCGAACGGGUGAGUAACACAUCGGAACGUACCCAGUUGAGGGGGAUAGCCCGGCGAAAGCCGGAUUAAUACCGCAUAAGUCCUGAGGGAGAAAGCGGGGGACCGCAAGCCUCGCGCGAUUGGAGCGGCCGAUGUCGGAUUAGCUAGUUGGUGGGGUAAAGGCUCACCAAGGCGACGAUCUGUAGCGGGUCUGAGAGGAUGAUCCGCCACACUGGGACUGAGACACGGCCCAGACUCCUACGGGAGGCAGCAGCGGGGAAUUUUGGACAAUGGGGGCAACCCUGAUCCAGCCAUGCCGCGUGCGGGAAGAAGGCCUUCGGGUUGUAAACCGCUUUCGGACAGAAAGAAAUCGCACAGGUUAAUACCUUGUGUGGAUGACGGUACUGUAAGAAGAAGCACCGGCUAACUACGUGCCAGCAGCCGCGGUAAUACGUAGGGUGCGAGCGUUAAUCGGAAUUACUGGGCGUAAAGCGUGCGCAGGCGGAUUGUUAAGCAAGAUGUGAAAUCCCCGGGCUUAACCUGGGAAUGGCAUUUUGAACUGGCAGUCUAGAGUGCGUCAGAGGGGGGUGGAAUUCCACGUAGCAGUGAAAUGCGUAGAGAUGUGGAGGAACACCGAUGGCGAAGGCAGCCCCCUGGGAUGACACUGACGCUCAUGCACGAAAGCGUGGGGAGCAAACAGGAUUAGAUACCCUAGUAGUCC
RNAcentral lists this ribosomal RNA (790 nucleotides) under uncultured bacterium. Its description in RNAcentral is "bacterial SSU rRNA". It matches the Rfam family "Bacterial small subunit ribosomal RNA", at positions 8 to 796 of the family's 1533-position model. The record is from RNAcentral.